AUACUUGGAGGCCAUGUCACCUGAGAGUCAAUGGGCAACGAUCAAAUUUCACCUUGAGCAGAUUCUUUUGUUUGCUUUUUAGUCACAAAUAGCUUGGCCCUAAGUGGUGGCUCCCAUUCUUGUAAGAUGCGUUUAUUCAUCGUGUAAUCACCAGUUCCCUGUAGUGGGGGCGUGGAUGGAGUGUCAGAGGCUCCUGCUGGUCUUUAGGGUGUCUGGCCUCCAGGAAUCCUAGAGUAAAUUGGGAACUACAGCACUCGAUGUUAGAGUUGUCGUGAAGAUUAAAGAAGGUGACGACUGGACAACUCCCAGCCCAAUACCUGAAACUGUACCAGCACCCAGUGAGCACUGCUAUUCCUGUGACUGCUGCACAUUUGCCUUAUCUCAGCAGUAUGCCUGUGUCACUUUUUUGGCACUCUUUUCUCAUGGGUACAUUCAGAGAAGAGGAAUGUUUGUUCACUGGUGAAGAGAACAUCCCGUGUACUAUCGUGUAGAAGUUGUAGUAGACGCUGUGGUCUUUCCAACAACAAACAAAGGCUGAGAGCUCCAAGGAGCUGUGAAUCACACCUCCGACUCCCCCCAGGGUACAGGAACGGGGUUCAGAAUGCUCUUCCCAAAGCUGCUGGGACAGGACCCAGGAGGUUCCGGAGGAUCAGGAGGUCCACCUGGGAGAAGAGCUGAUCGGCUAGUAGGAGAGCUGGAAAAGCAACAGACACCUACUUAGUCCCUUCCCUGGGGCCCGGCUCCAGUCUGAGCUGUCACGCCACAGCAAAGGCAUCACUUCAGGACAGCAAAGCCCCUGUCUCCCUCCCUUCCAGCUCCUCAGACUUCACCCUGGUAACACGUUUGUUUAAAAAACAUAUUUUUCCCCCUUGUAAAGAAUCUAGGAUACAAGGGGUCAGCCCAGCAGUUUAGGUAUCAAGAAGAAACUGCUCUCGGAGCUAAAGUAAGAAACAGUGCCUGUCUAUAGCGCAAAUAAAGAGUUGGAACAAGAUAAAA
This 996-nucleotide long non-coding RNA is filed under the name Homo sapiens (human). RNAcentral describes it as "long intergenic non-protein coding RNA 2669". The record is from RNAcentral. Lineage: Eukaryota; Metazoa; Chordata; Mammalia; Primates; Hominidae.